UGAAUACGAGACGCUAAGGCGUCGAAGUAGUGUAUGUCAUACUUCCAAGAAAAGCUUGCACUGUCAUAGAUAAAAAACGCCUGUACCAUAACCGACACAGGUGGGUAGGUAGAGUAUACUAAGGGGCGCGAGAUAACUCUCUCUAAGGAACUCGGCAAAAUGACUCCGUAACUUCGGGAGAAGGAGUGCCUUAUUCUUAAGGUUGCAAUAACAAGAUCCAAGCAACUGUUUAUCAAAAACACAGGUCUCCGCUAAGUCGUAAGACGAUGUAUGGGGGCUGACGCCUGCCCAGUGCCAGAAGGUUAAAGAAGUUGGUUAGCAUUUGCGAAGCUGAUAACUGAAGCCCUGGUGAACGGCGGCCGUAACAAUAACGGUCCUAAGGUAGCGAAAUUCCUUGUCGGGUAAGUUCCGACCCGCACGAAAGGCGUAAUGAUUUGGAUACUGUCUCGGAGAGGGGCUCGGUGAAAUAGACUUGUCUGUGAAGAUGCGGACUACCUGCACCAGGACAGAAAGACCCUAUGAAGCUUUACUGUAACUUGAAAUUGAAAUUGGACUUUAUUCGCGCAGUAUAGGUGGGAGGCGUUGAUUAUAAUCUUGCGGGAUUAUUGGAGCCAUCAGUGAGAUACCACCCUUGUAAUGUUAGAUUUCUAACUUUGAAUCAUUAUCUGGUCAAAGAACAGUUUCAGGCGGGCAGUUUGACUGGGGCGGUCGCCUCCUAAACGGUAACGGAGGCGUACAAAGGUUUCCUCUGAACGGUUAGAAAUCGUAUCUAGAGUGUAAAGGCAUAAGGAAGCUUGACUGUGAGACCUACAAGUCGAGCAGGGACGAAAGUCGGUCUUAGUGAUCUGACGGUACUGAGUGGAAAGGCCGUCACUCAACGGAUAAAAGUUACUCUAGGAUAACAGGCUGAUCUCCCCCAAGAGUUCACAUCGACGGGGAGGUUUGGCACCUCGAUGUCGGCUCAUCGCAUCCUGGGGCGGUAGUACGUCCCAAGGGUUGGGCUGUUCGCCCAUGAAAGCGGUACGCGAGCUGGGUUCAGAACGUCGUGAGACAGUUCGGUCCAUAUCCGGUGUAGGCGUUAGAAUAUUGAGAGGAGCCUUCUUUAGUACGAGAGGACCGAGAAGGACAUACCUCUGGUGUACCAGUUAUCGUGCCAACGGUAAACGCUGGGUAGCUAUGUAUGGAGUGGAUAACCGCUGAAAGCAUCUAAGUGGGAAGCCCACCUCAAGAUAAGUAUUCUC
RNAcentral lists this ribosomal RNA (1241 nucleotides) under metagenome. RNAcentral describes it as "bacterial LSU rRNA". It matches the Rfam family "Bacterial large subunit ribosomal RNA", at positions 1564 to 2815 of the family's 2925-position model. The record is from RNAcentral.